UGAUUCAACGAGCUAGUCAAGUAGAGGCAUACUAGUGACACUUUGUUUGUCUAUGUAUUCACACAUGUACUAAGUUUCCAGUUAAUACAAUUAUAGCAUGAAUAAUAAACAUUUUUCAUGAUAUAAGGAAAUAAAUAAUAACUUCAUUAUUGCCUCUAGGGCAUAUAUCCUUCAGAAAGUUCAAAGCACUGUUUGAUGAGCCUGUGUAGUAUUAGUUAGUUGGUCAGGUAAAGGCUGGCCAAGCCAAUGAUGCUUAGCUGGUCUUUUUGAAUGAUUAGACACACUGGGAAUGAGACAUGACCCAUACUACCAUGGGGGGUAGCAGAGGGGAAUCUUGGACAAUCGGCGAAAGCCCGAUCCAGCAAUGUCGCGUGAGUGAAGAAGGUCAAUGCUCCUUGUAAAGCUCUUAUGUCAAGUGCGUGAUCAUGACAGAACUGGAGAAAGAAGCCCCGGCUAACUCCGUGCCAGCAGCCGCGCUAAGACGAGGGGUGGGGGCAAGUACUCUUUGGAAUGACUAGGCUUAAAGGGCAGGUAGGCGGUGAAUCGGGUUGAAAGUGAAACUAUGAAAAUCAUAAAAAGUGGUGAAAUGCUCUCGAAACCAAUUCACUUAAGUGAGACAGAGGAGAGUGGAUGGUCUUCUAUUCGUCCCAAUUCACUUAAGGAAAAGAGAUUAAAGUUGAAACAGACGCUCACUUCCAUGAAUAUGUGGACACACAACCGGUGGCUCCAUGCCUGCAUGCAUGAUGCAUGCACGCAUUACGCAUGUGGUCCGUUUCCAAGCUAACCAAUGGCGCCCGACCGAUGAUACAUCUCCAAC
Molecule: non-coding RNA, 817 nt
Filed under: Triticum aestivum (bread wheat)
Lineage: Eukaryota; Viridiplantae; Streptophyta; Magnoliopsida; Poales; Poaceae
Description: Bacterial small subunit ribosomal RNA
Rfam family: Bacterial small subunit ribosomal RNA
Source: Rfam by way of RNAcentral